This 79-nucleotide transfer RNA is filed under the name Candidatus Latescibacterota bacterium. Its description in RNAcentral is "tRNA-Asp". It matches the Rfam family "tRNA". Rfam says of the family: Transfer RNA (tRNA) molecules are approximately 80 nucleotides in length. Lineage: Bacteria; Pseudomonadati; Candidatus Latescibacterota. The record is from RNAcentral.
GGGGUAGUAGCUCAGAAUUGGUUAGAGUGUCGGCCUGUCACGCCGAAGGUCGCGGGUUCGAGUCCCGUCUACCCCGCCA